AGCCGCUCCCUGUUUGCUAGGGUUGAGGCCCUCCAGCCAUCUCCGCCGCCCGCCCUCCCUCCGCCGGCGCACAGAUCCGACCUCCCUCCACCGACGCACAGGUCCGGCUGCUCCGGCGGCAAGUGUCCCCUCCUCACCAGGUCCGGCUGCUCUGGCGGCAAGGUGUCCCCUCCUCACCAGGUCCGGCUGCUCCAGCGGCAAGGUGUCCCCUCCUCGUCUGCAAGAAAGUGUAACAGGCAGGUCUUGGUUCCCCUCCCUCCCCCAAUUGCAUCUUCAGUUCAACUUUGUUCUGGACGUGAUCAAGACUUAACGAGUUGGAGUCCAUCUAUCCGAAUAUGAAUUCCUGGAUGUAAUGGAGCCCAACUUAAAUACAGUGUAAUAAUCUGAGUCGGAUUCCUUUUUCAGUUCAUGUACAUACUGGUGUAUCUUGGUAUUAGAAGUUUAAAAGUUUUUCAUACUAAUAUGCAUGUGGUAGUAAAUACAUAUAGGAUGACAGAUAACAGAUAUUAGGCAUGUGUAUGGUCAGAAAUUAAAGUUUCUUUAUAAUAUUGUAUUUGUAUUUCAUUAAAUAUCAAACUGAUUCGAAAUUCAGUUUGGUCUCGGUACAUACCAAAUUAUUCCUAUUUGGUUUCAGUAUAUGCCACAUUAACCAGAAUUUCCUCUAUGCAUGAUUCGAAAUUCAGUUUGGACAGUACAGACGUUCAAUGACAUGAAUAUUUCCUCUAUGCAUGAUUUUAUAAUUUGCUAUAUGCCUUUGAGAUUAGGCUUUUGUAUUUUCUUUUGAGAAAAAAGGGAAAAGAGAAGUAGCUAAUAAAAAAUGAUCUCUGAUAUCUGUAUUGAUAUCUAUUCUUUUUUGAAAAAUGAGAAGUCAAAUUGUUUUUGUUCUUGAUUCUGUGAGGCUCUCUCAUUAUAUCUGUCUAAUGGCAAAUGUCUUAAUCUCUCUAGAGACUGGUCGGAAUAGAGUGUGGCCCUGUUGCCUCUUGGUAUCAUUACUAGCAAGUGUCAUGUCACUUUUACCCAUGCUCUUUACAAACAGAAGUACCCCUCAGAUUUUAGUUUAUACAUAGAGUCAGCUGUUGUUGUCGAAGCUGCUACUCCCUCCUUUCCGGUUUAUAGGGCUCAAUUCAAAAAUCUCACCAACCAAGGUAGAUGGUGAGUGGUGAAAUAUUUUUUGUAAUUUGCAAAAGCACCCAAUUAAUGCUCUUGUUUUCCUCAAAAAUUUAUGUUUACCAAUGUAUUAAUUGCAAUGCAUGGAUGCAUAGAGUACAUGUAUUGGUCAAUUUUCUCUUAAUACUUGCAUGCAAUUAUUUAAUGCACCUUGGAAUCUGAACUUAUGAUGGGGAACAACCAAAUUGAGCCUUAUAAAAUGAAAAAACUAAGAUUUUGAGAUAAGCCCUAUAAACCGGAAAGGAGGGAGUAGUAAACUGACUUGAAUAUGCAUUUUCCUUGUUGAUCGCCUGAUUUGUUUCGAGUGUGGUUGUAGUUUGUAGAUAUGACACUCCAUUAGUUCCACCGAAAUGGUACAUGUAUCCUGGAUGGAGCUGAUGCAUACGUAUCCUUUUAAUUCCUUUUCCUUUUUGUACAUGUAAAUAAAAAAAAUACCAAUCUUGACUCAGGCCAAGAGCCGGUCGUUUGUUAUUGUUAUGGUAUAAAUGGUAUAUUAGAAAGGAGUGGCCAGAGCACAUAUUUAUUAUUGUUAUGGAAAUACAAGUGUUGCCACUGUAAAUACAAAAGGAGUGGGCAGAGCACCUGUUCUGCAUGUGAAUUAUGUUUAGUCCCAGUUUACAAGUUUGCAUGAUGAAGCUAAUGAGGUUGUGGAGGCGAUUGCCAAGAAGAUUGUCCAAGACAUGCCGUAUGAGGCGCGCGUUGAUGCUGUGGUGAAGUAUUUCGCGCACGAACGCAAAAUGCUUCUCAAAAAGUCUCUAGCCCGGAGAGUGCAUCUCACCCGUUCCAUGUACAUGAAGGAGGUUCCCUCGUGGUGCAACAACAAUGUUCCUUGCUACCAGCAAAUCAUAUCCAAAUGGAUAGACCCGGAGUGGAGGGCCCAACAUCGAAUGGCUUCGGAGCGGCGUGCCUUGAUGGGUGGUCCGGUACACCUUCAAGGCAACCUCAACCUCCACGCUUACGUGCAGAAGAAGGCAAUAAUAUCAUUCGGCAUCUCAACUUCUAAACUUGUGCUCUUAUGGAUAUUAUUGCUUCUAUUGCAGAAUAGGGAGAGAGGUGAGGGCCAAGAGAAGCUCAAUACCUUCACGGGAUUAUGUCUCUCCCGCAAGUCAAAGAAACCGGAAGGGGGGUGGGUCAACCCAGGCGUUGGCUUGAGGAUUGAUGCAUACAGUGGGAAGUUCAAGGAGCACAACGGGCCUGACUCUGAUCCGGCCUCACAGGACACUGACGCUACAAUUUCCCUCCAGUCGGGAGAUGGCAAGAAGGGUGGUCGGUUAUAUGUUGGUGACGGUGCCAUCCGUAAGGACAUCCCAAAACUCUCACCUCCGUGCUACCACGUCGAGCUCAGGUCCUGCUAUAGAGUGUCGCCCACAGCCUGGGCUGCAUAUGCUCCAUCAACUCGAGGACAAUGCCAGGCUUCGAGAGGAGGAAGCCAUGAAAAUGCAGCAGGCCCUGUUUCAACAACAAGAAUUCAUGGUUAAACAACAGGCAAUCCUGCAGGAGACAUUUGCUCAACUCAGAAAUAAUAUGCAGGGUUCCACUUUUCCCGUUCUUCCUCCUCUUCCGACUCUUCCUAAUUUCAACUUUUUUUCUCAGUCGGGACAAGGCUCCAAUAACUGUGUGGUAGGUGGAUCUUCAGCUGGCCAAGCAAGUCAAGUGACACCCACUACGGUUCAUGUCGCUUCGACCUCCCCGCAACAAUGAUCACUUGAGGUUUGCAUUGUGGAUGGCAUUGACGGUGGGCAUAUAUGCUGCGGUGGAGCUCAUUGGUUCAUGCUUGGUGUGAACUUGGAACUCAUGAUCCUUUAAUUUGUGAACCUUCGCUGGAUAUGUAUGCACUGUGUGGACCUGAAACUUACGGUCAUUUCGUUUGUGAUCUUUUGUUGCAUACGUAUGCAUAUGUGGACUCUGCACUCAUGUACGGCUGGAUAUAUGUAUUACUUGAUAUAUGUUUGUUGGUCAUGGUCAUGUACUGCUGGAUACAUAUAUUUGUUGGAUAUAUGUGCUGCUGGAUA
Long non-coding RNA from Triticum aestivum (bread wheat), 3179 nucleotides. RefSeq lists it as uncharacterized. Lineage: Eukaryota; Viridiplantae; Streptophyta; Magnoliopsida; Poales; Poaceae. The transcript has 6 exons. The record is from RefSeq and is a predicted model, not a curated record.